AUCUACUUUGUAAAACUUAUUUAAGAGGUUCGAGUUACCAAGCCUCUUUGUAUCGAAACCGUGCCUCUUGCAAUAUAAGUCAUAUAUUGCCUUAUUUCUACAUAUUUAAACACUCCUGAGGGAGUGUUUAUUUUUCUUUAAUUUUAUAUAUACUUUGUAUAUUGCAUUACAAAGUAAUAUAAUAUUUUUCGGUGAACUCAACCUAGGAAUUGUGGCUGAUUUGGGGCUGUUGGAGGCUCCGCUGUUUUGUGAAGGAGAGGCUGCUUGUCCUGUGGCCUGCUGUUACUGCUGGUGCUUUUUGCUGCUUCGCACUGCUUUUAUUUAUUUGUUCACUCAUUGUGACAAUGCGUUCGGGGUUUGCACUAUCCUGCUUAUUUCUUUAUUUAAGUCUAUUACUUAAUUUUAACCGAUGCCAACUCGCCUA
Long non-coding RNA from Nymphalis io (European peacock), 424 nucleotides. RefSeq lists it as uncharacterized. The record is from RefSeq and is a predicted model, not a curated record. The transcript is spliced from 3 exons. Lineage: Eukaryota; Metazoa; Arthropoda; Insecta; Lepidoptera; Nymphalidae.